RNAcentral lists this unclassified non-coding RNA (145 nucleotides) under soil metagenome. RNAcentral's name for it is "partial internal transcribed spacer 1". The record is from RNAcentral.
UAAUAAGUGUUUUAUGGCACUUUUUAAAUCCAUAUCCACCUUGUGUGCAAUGUCAGUCGAUCUUCUUCAUGGAGAUCGACCAAACAUCAACCUUUAUUUUUUAACUCUUUGUCUGAAGAAUAUUAUGAAUAAACAAUUCAAAAUA